This 1035-nucleotide ribosomal RNA is filed under the name Bacillus zhangzhouensis. RNAcentral describes it as "bacterial SSU rRNA". It matches the Rfam family "Bacterial small subunit ribosomal RNA", at positions 61 to 1078 of the family's 1533-position model. The record is from RNAcentral. Lineage: Bacteria; Bacillati; Bacillota; Bacilli; Caryophanales; Bacillaceae.
GUCGAGCGGACAGAAGGGAGCUUGCUCCCGGAUGUUAGCGGCGGACGGGUGAGUAACACGUGGGUAACCUGCCUGUAAGACUGGGAUAACUCCGGGAAACCGGAGCUAAUACCGGAUAGUUCCUUGAACCGCAUGGUUCAAGGAUGAAAGACGGUUUCGGCUGUCACUUACAGAUGGACCCGCGGCGCAUUAGCUAGUUGGUGGGGUAAUGGCUCACCAAGGCGACGAUGCGUAGCCGACCUGAGAGGGUGAUCGGCCACACUGGGACUGAGACACGGCCCAGACUCCUACGGGAGGCAGCAGUAGGGAAUCUUCCGCAAUGGACGAAAGUCUGACGGAGCAACGCCGCGUGAGUGAUGAAGGUUUUCGGAUCGUAAAGCUCUGUUGUUAGGGAAGAACAAGUGCGAGAGUAACUGCUCGCACCUUGACGGUACCUAACCAGAAAGCCACGGCUAACUACGUGCCAGCAGCCGCGGUAAUACGUAGGUGGCAAGCGUUGUCCGGAAUUAUUGGGCGUAAAGGGCUCGCAGGCGGUUUCUUAAGUCUGAUGUGAAAGCCCCCGGCUCAACCGGGGAGGGUCAUUGGAAACUGGGAAACUUGAGUGCAGAAGAGGAGAGUGGAAUUCCACGUGUAGCGGUGAAAUGCGUAGAGAUGUGGAGGAACACCAGUGGCGAAGGCGACUCUCUGGUCUGUAACUGACGCUGAGGAGCGAAAGCGUGGGGAGCGAACAGGAUUAGAUACCCUGGUAGUCCACGCCGUAAACGAUGAGUGCUAAGUGUUAGGGGGUUUCCGCCCCUUAGUGCUGCAGCUAACGCAUUAAGCACUCCGCCUGGGGAGUACGGUCGCAAGACUGAAACUCAAAGGAAUUGACGGGGGCCCGCACAAGCGGUGGAGCAUGUGGUUUAAUUCGAAGCAACGCGAAGAACCUUACCAGGUCUUGACAUCCUCUGACAACCCUAGAGAUAGGGCUUUCCCUUCGGGGACAGAGUGACAGGUGGUGCAUGGUUGUCGUCAGCUCGUGCCCUGAGAUGUUGG